RNAcentral lists this transfer RNA (72 nucleotides) under Ovis aries (sheep). It matches the Rfam family "tRNA". From Rfam's summary of the family: Transfer RNA (tRNA) molecules are approximately 80 nucleotides in length. The record is from Rfam by way of RNAcentral. Lineage: Eukaryota; Metazoa; Chordata; Mammalia; Artiodactyla; Bovidae.
UCCCUAGCUGUCCAGUGGUUAGGACUUGGUGUUUUCACUGCUGAGGCCCAGGUUUGAUCCCUGGUCAGGGAA